AACGAACGCUGGCGGCAUGCCUAACACAUGCAAGUCGAACGAGACCUUCGGGUCUAGUGGCGCACGGGUGCGUAACGCGUGGGAAUCUGCCCUUGGGUUCGGGAUAACUCGCCGAAAGGCGUGCUAAUACCGGAUGAUGUCGUAAGACCAAAGAUUUAUCGCCCAGGGAUGAGCCCGCGUAAGAUUAGGUAGUUGGUGGGUAACGGCCUACCAUGCCGACGAUCGGUAGCCGGACUGAGAGGUUGAUCGGCCACAUUGGGACUGAGACACGGCCCAG
This 277-nucleotide ribosomal RNA is filed under the name uncultured bacterium. Its description in RNAcentral is "partial 16S ribosomal RNA". It matches the Rfam family "Bacterial small subunit ribosomal RNA", at positions 29 to 334 of the family's 1533-position model. The record is from RNAcentral.